GACGAACGCUGGCGGCGUGCUUAACACAUGCAAGUCGAACGGAAAGGCCCUGCUUUUGUGGGGUGCUCGAGUGGCGAACGGGUGAGUAACACGUGAGUAACCUGCCCUUGACUUUGGGAUAACUUCAGGAAACUGGGGCUAAUACCGGAUAGGAGCUCCUGCGGCACGGUGGGGGUUGGAAAGUUUCGGCGGUUGGGGAUGGACUCGCGGCUUAUCAGCUUGUUGGUGGGGUAGUGGCUUACCAAGGCUUUGACGGGUAGCCGGCCUGAGAGGGUGACCGGCCACAUUGGGACUGAGAUACGGCCCAGACUCCUACGGGAGGCAGCAGUGGGGAAUAGUGCACAAUGGGCGGAAGCCUGAUGCAGCAACGCCGCGUGCGGGAUGACGGCCUUCGGGUUGUAAACCGCUUUCGCCUGUGACGAAGCGUGAGUGACGGUAAUGGGUAAAGAAGCACCGGCUAACUACGUG
Molecule: ribosomal RNA, 468 nt
Filed under: uncultured bacterium
Lineage: Bacteria
Description: partial 16S ribosomal RNA
Rfam family: Bacterial small subunit ribosomal RNA
Source: RNAcentral